UACGUAGGGCGCAAGCGUUAUCCGGAAUUAUUGGGCGUAAAGAGCUCGUAGGCGGUUUGUCGCGUCUGCUGUGAAAGACCGGGGCUCAACUCCGGUUCUGCAGUGGGUACGGGCAGACUAGAGUGAUGUAGGGGAGACUGGAAUUCCUGGUGUAGCGGUGAAAUGCGCAGAUAUCAGGAGGAACACCGAUGGCGGAGGCAGGUCUCUGGGCAUUAACUGACGCUGAGGAGCGAAAGCAUGGGGAGCGAACAGG
This 253-nucleotide ribosomal RNA is filed under the name uncultured bacterium. Its description in RNAcentral is "partial 16S ribosomal RNA". It matches the Rfam family "Bacterial small subunit ribosomal RNA", at positions 524 to 776 of the family's 1533-position model. The record is from RNAcentral.